RNAcentral lists this long non-coding RNA (489 nucleotides) under Struthio camelus australis. RNAcentral describes it as "lncRNA (ENSSCUG00000018612.1)". The record is from RNAcentral. Lineage: Eukaryota; Metazoa; Chordata; Aves; Struthioniformes; Struthionidae.
CUCAGACAGACUGAAGGAAUCAUACCCUAAAAGUAUAUUUUCUCUCUCCCAGAUUUAGGUACUUUAAAUAGUGGAGAAGGAUCUUCUCAUUUUCUGCUUCCCUAAGAGCACUGCUAGUGUUUGACAGAUUUCUCAUCUCUCCAACCAGGAAUGAAGACUAGUAAAGUGGCUGAAAUUCCUGUUGUUACAAGAAUGAAGUCUAUAGAGUUUAUUAACCUCCAUCCAUUCUAUGAACCUGGACUACCAUACACAGAGAAGGUGAGCAUGGGCCACAGAAAAAGGAGAAUACAGUGAGGGAAGAUUGAGGAAUGGGACCAGACCAAGCCUGGAAGCACCUGUCUUCUGCUCCUCCUAACUUCUGAUAGUACACGUGAAAAUUGUUGUUGCCAGCCUGGUAAUACACCCACAUUCCCACUAUCUGUGUUCCUGCAGCUAACAUGGAAUUCAUGCCCAAGCAAUAGGAUCUCCUAUUGCCAUCCAUUCCCCAUA